UGUGUGUGUGUGCGCGUGUGUGUGUGUGUGUGUGUGUGUGUGUGUGUGUGUGUGCGCGCGCGAGCACAGACCAGCCUCUCCCCCUGCAG
Molecule: microRNA precursor, 89 nt
Filed under: Echinops telfairi (small Madagascar hedgehog)
Lineage: Eukaryota; Metazoa; Chordata; Mammalia; Afrosoricida; Tenrecidae
Description: miRNA (ENSETEG00000023639.1)
Source: RNAcentral